Molecule: ribosomal RNA, 252 nt
Filed under: uncultured bacterium
Lineage: Bacteria
Description: partial 16S ribosomal RNA
Rfam family: Bacterial small subunit ribosomal RNA
Source: RNAcentral
UACGUAGGGGGCUAGCGUUGUCCGGAUUUAUUGGGCGUAAAGAGCGUGUAGGCGCCAGACAGGUCCGUUGUGAAAACUCGAGGCUCAACCUCGAGACGCCGAUGGAAACCGUCUGGCUAGAGUCCGGAAGAGGAGAGUGGAAUUCCCGGUGUAGCGGUGAAAUGCGCAGAUAUCGGGAAGAACACCCGUGGCUAAGGCGGCUCUCUAGUACGGUACUGACGCUGAGACGCGAAAGCGUGGGGAGCGAACAGG